AUGGAGCUGGAUUCGAAACAGAGAAUCUCCCCCGACUGUUGUCCCUGGGCUACAAAGACAAAGCAAAAUGCAGUGGUAUGUUUACACUGUCAGCAACACCUAUUUUUUCAGAAGAUGACUUUUAAAAUACAAUUUAUCAUAAAAUUGCAAAUAAUUGCCUUUUUUUUUUUUCCCUUUUUGAUAGCGUUGUAUAUGUUUUUGUUCAUUAGGUUUUUGAAAACCACGGGAGCAGAGGUACUGCCCAGCCUUGCCCAAGAUGUAUUGCUGGAGAAUCCGGACACUUCAAUCAUAUCCUGGGCUUCUAGGAGUUGAGAGUCGUCAGACGGGCAACGCUGCUUUUCCUUGUGAAUUCCAAAGCGGCACCGGGGCCCCCCGUGCCCCCCGGACGUCUGCGCCUUCGCCCACGGCGGGGACUCCGCGGUGCUCGGCGUACGGCAGCUUGCUCUGUCCCUGCACAGUCACCGAUAGCAUCGGUUCUACACUUGAAAAAAAAUGCUUCUGCUUUUAAGGUAGCUCAGUACGUGUUAGGAGAAAAAAAAAAAAAAGUUGAUUUAAUGUUUUAGAGUAGUUCAGUUGGUCUUUGGCCCUGGGACUGGGCCGAGGGUCCUGUCGGUACAAGAGAUUUUCCUGUCUCUCUCAGGCACUUUCCCUGACGCUGUUGGAACGUGGUCCUUGCAUUUCCAGGGGUGCAGGGCUGCAGUUCUAGCUCAGCCCCAUAUGUGCAGGCAGAAAUGUCUUCAUUUUUAGAUGGCUAUUCAGCUGGGAAGGCCAGUAAAAAUCCUAUUGAAACAUGUUUAAAUCUUAAAUAUGCGUUCGAUUUGGGUGUCUUCUAAGCUAGACUUCUAGUUUGUUUAUAACAAGCAGAGCUUGUGAAUGCGGCAGGCAAACACCUAAUAGAAAAAGGAGUAUUAUUUGAACAAGCCUCUGUAAAGCCAAGGUGAACAGUAAUUCAGCUCUGUGGAGUCCUCAAAGGUGAAGAUGCCCUGACACUGUCUUUCCAGUUAUUGUCAUACUACAACAAAGCUGUUAAAAAGUCUUGAACUUGUCAUCCAACAGAAUUUCAUUGGCUUCUUACAAAUAAUUUCAUCUACAUUUUGCCAGUAUAUAGAACUACAUCAUUUUUAAACACAUUCAGAUUUUUAGACUACGAUAGCUGAGUUGUAGUUAGCACUGAGUUGACUGUUAUUAAGGAGAUAUUCUUCCUGAAUAGAUUAAUCAUGUGAAUGCUGAAUUCAGUUAAGUAAUAGAUGAGGAAAUAAGUCUACAGAGCAGCCCUGCACUAAAUGGCCAUGCGUACUGAUUGGCUAGGAGG
This 1312-nucleotide long non-coding RNA is filed under the name Calidris pygmaea (Spoon-billed sandpiper). RNAcentral describes it as "lncRNA (ENSCPGG00000008960.1)". Lineage: Eukaryota; Metazoa; Chordata; Aves; Charadriiformes; Scolopacidae. The record is from RNAcentral.